GUUAUAUGGUCAAGUGAUUAAGCGCACACGGUGGAUGCCUUGGCGAUAGGAGGCGAUGAAGGACGUGGUAGCCUGCGAUAAGCCUCGGGGAGGCGGCAAACUUCCUUUGAUCCGAGGAUUUCCGAAUGGGGAAACCCAGCUGCUUUUAGCAGUUAUCUUGCACUGAAUUCAUAGGUGCCUGAAGCGAACCCGGGGAACUGAAACAUCUAAGUACCCGGAGGAAUAGAAAUCAACCGAGAUUCCCCUAGUAGCGGCGAGCGAAAGGGGAGCAGCCCAGUCAUCAUAAUUCUGCGGAUCCUAGUGGAGCGGUCUGGAAAGUCCGGCCAUAGAAGGUGAUAGCCCUGUACACGACAGGUGAAGCAGAUGGAUGACGAAGAGUAGGACGGGGCACGAGUAACCCUGUCUGAACAUGGGGGGACCAUCCUCCAAGGCUAAAUACUACCUAUCGACCGAUAGUGAACCAGUACCGUGAGGGAAAGGCGAAAAGAACCCCAGUGAGGGGAGUGAAAUAGAACCUGAAACCGUGUGCGUACAAGCAGUGGGAGCCCCUUUCGGGGGGUGACUGCGUACCUUUUGUAUAAUGGGUCAGCGAGUUACUUUCGGCGGCGAGCUUAACCGUCUAGGGAAGGCAUAGGGAAACCGAGUCUGAAUAGGGCGCUAAGUCGUCGGGAGUAGACCCGAAGCCAGUCGAGCUAGCCAUGGACAGGGUGAAGGUAGGGUAAUGCCUGCUGGAGGCCCGAACCGGUAACUGUUGAAAAAGUUUCGGAUGAGCUGUGGUUAGGAGUGAAAGGCUAAUCAAGACUGGAGAUAGCUGGUUCUCCUCGAAAGCUAUUGAGGUAGCGCCUCGUGUAUCACUCUUGGGGGUAGAGCACUGUUUCGGCUAGGGGGACAUCCCGUCUUACCAAACCGAUGCAAACUCCGAAUACCAGGAAGUGCGAGCACGGGAGACACACGGCGGGUGCUAACGUCCGUCGUGAAGAGGGAAACAACCCAGACCGCCAGCUAAGGUCCCCAAAUCACAGCUAAGUGGAAAACGAUGUGGAAAGGCAUAGACAGCCAGGAGGUUGGCUUAGAAGCAGCCAUCCUUUAAAGAAAGCGUAACAGCUCACUGGUCUAGUCGGUCUGCGCGGAAAAUUUAACGGGGCUCAAGCUGUGUACCGAAGCUGCGGAUGCAUACUUUCUUCGGAAGGUGUGCGUGGUAGAGGAGCGUUCUGUAAGCCUGUGAAGGUGUGUCGUGAGGCAUGCUGGAGGUAUCAGAAGUGCGAAUGCUGACAUGAGUAACGAUAAUGCGGGUGAAAAACCCGCACGCCGUAAACCCAAGGUUUCCUGCGCAACGCUAAUCGGCGCAGGGUGAGUCGGUUCCUAAGGCGAGACCGAAAGGUGUAGUCGAUGGCAAGCGGGUUAAUAUUCCUGCACCAUGAACUGCUGCGAUGGGAGGACGGAGAAGGCUAGGCUUACCGGGUGUUGGAUGUCCCGGGGAAAGUAAGUAGGCGGAGAUCUUAGGUAAGUCCGGGGUCUCUUAACGCCGAGAUACGAGACCAUCGGCCUUGUGCCGAGAAGUAGCUGAUGCCACGCUUCCAAGAAAAGUCCCUAAGCUUCAGGCAGUUCGUGACCGUACCGUAAUCCGACACAGGUGGGUGAGGAGAGAAUCCUAAGGCGCUUGAGAGAACUCGGGUGAAGGAACUAGGCAAAUUGGUACCGUAACUUCGGGAGAAGGUACGCCCCUACCGGUUAGGAGACUUGCUCUCCAAAGCUAGUGGGGGUCGCAGAUGCCAGGUGGCGGCGACUGUUUAUCAAAAACACAGCACUCUGCAAACACGAAAGUGGAAGUAUAGGGUGUGACGCCUGCCCGGUGCCGGAAGGUUAAUUGAUGGGGUUAGCCGCAAGGCAAAGCUCUUGAUCGAAGCCCCGGUAAACGGCGGCCGUAACUAUAACGGUCCUAAGGUAGCGAAAUUCCUUGUCGGGUAAGUUCCGACCUGCACGAAUGGCGUAACGAUCGCCACGCUGUCUCCACCCGGGACUCAGUGAAGUUGAAAUCGCUGUGAAGAUGCAGUGUACCCGCGGCAAGACGGAAAGACCCCGUGCACCUUUACUACAGCUUUGCAUUGGACUCUGAACCUGUCUGUGUAGGAUAGGUGGGAGGCUAUGAAGUGGGGACGCCAGUUCUCAUGGAGCCAAUCUUGAAAUACCACCCUGAUAUGUUUGGGGUUCUAACCUGAGCCCGUAAUCCGGGCUGGGGACAAUGUAUGGUGGGUAGUUUGACUGGGGCGGUCUCCUCCUAAAGAGUAACGGAGGAGUACAAAGGUGCCCUCAGCGCGGUCGGACAUCGCGUGUUGUGUAUAAAGGCAUAAGGGCGCUUGACUGCGAGACAGACAAGUCGAGCAGGUACGAAAGUAGGUCUUAGUGAUCCGGUGGUUCUGUAUGGAAGGGCCAUCGCUCAACGGAUAAAAGGUACGCCGGGGAUAACAGGCUGAUCUCCCCCAAGAGUCCACAUCGACGGGGAGGUUUGGCACCUCGAUGUCGGCUCAUCACAUCCUGGGGCUGUAGCAGGUCCCAAGGGUAUGGCUGUUCGCCAUUUAAAGUGGUACGCGAGCUGGGUUCAGAACGUCGUGAGACAGUUCGGUCCCUAUCUGCCGUGGGCGUUAGAAACUUGAGGGUGAGUUGCUCCUAGUACGAGAGGACCGGAGUGAACGUACCUCUGGUGUUCCGGUUGUCACGCCAGUGGCAUCGCCGGGUAGCUAUGUACGGACGGGAUAACCGCUGAAUGCAUCUAAGCGGGAAGCCCCCCCCAAGAUAAGGUUUCUCUGGGGACUUGAUCCCCCUAAAGGGCCGUCGAAGACUACGACGUUGAUAGGCUGGGUGUGGAAGCGCUGUAAGGCGUGUAGCUAACCAGUACUAAUUGCCCGUGAGGCUUGACCAUAUAACACUCAAGCA
This 2934-nucleotide ribosomal RNA is filed under the name Gammaproteobacteria bacterium. RNAcentral describes it as "23S ribosomal RNA". It matches the Rfam family "Bacterial large subunit ribosomal RNA". The record is from RNAcentral. Lineage: Bacteria; Pseudomonadati; Pseudomonadota; Gammaproteobacteria.